GGUGGCUUGGUCAGGGACAGUUGUCUCCACAGCUCAGCAAGCAGACUGCGAAAAUAUCCCGUUCCGUGCUCUGGCUGUGCAGUACGUCGUAACCUGUCUGCUCGUUAGAUGCAACGUGAAUUCUUCCGGCUUUGCUUUCUAGUACACAAUGAGAGGAGCCCUUCCGGCUUUGCAAACGUGUGCUAGACUGCGUGCUAAAGGAUUUUUAGACACUCUUCAGACAGGCGACUCAUUCCAGAGGCAUUUUACACGCACAGCUUAUUCAUUCGUAACUUUUAAAUGUACGUCACAGAGGAAGUCUAUGGUGACUGACCGGCAAUAAGGCUGUUUUUUCAUUCAAAGUACGUGAC
Molecule: long non-coding RNA, 350 nt
Filed under: Mustela putorius furo (domestic ferret)
Lineage: Eukaryota; Metazoa; Chordata; Mammalia; Carnivora; Mustelidae
Description: lncRNA (ENSMPUG00000025517.1)
Source: RNAcentral